GAAAUGCGAUAAGUAAUGUGAAUUGCAGAAUUCAGUGAAUCAUCGAAUCUUUGAACGCACAUUGCGCCCGCCAGCACUCUGGCGGGCAUGCCUGUUCGAGCGUCAUUUCAACCCUCAGAACCCCUUGCGGGAUCUGGCGUUGGGGAUUGGCAUCCAGCCAGCCCCGAGAUCUAGUGGCGGUCCCUCCGCGACCUCCCCUGUGCAGUAGCGAUACCUCGCAGCGGGACAGCGGUCUGACCACGCCGUAACACCCCCAACUUCUCAAGGUUGACCUCGAAUCAGGUAGGAAUACCCGCUGAACUUAAGC
Molecule: unclassified non-coding RNA, 307 nt
Filed under: plant metagenome
Description: partial contains 5.8S ribosomal RNA, internal transcribed spacer 2, and large subunit ribosomal RNA
Rfam family: 5.8S ribosomal RNA (bases 1-105)
Source: RNAcentral